This is a long non-coding RNA of Felis catus (domestic cat), 3980 nucleotides long. RefSeq lists it as uncharacterized. Lineage: Eukaryota; Metazoa; Chordata; Mammalia; Carnivora; Felidae. The record is from RefSeq and is a predicted model, not a curated record. The transcript has 2 exons.
AAACACACAGAAUGAAUUUCCUAGAAAGCUGCUUAUUUAGGCAUUUUUAAUGUUUCUCUCUGAAAUAAAAUGGCAAGUGACCUUCACAGGCUGCUUAUUAUGUUAGAGAGACAUUGCUGCUUGAGAGGACAUAUUAAACCCCGCCUCCUCCACCCCUCCCCCACUCCAUACAGAGAUACACACACACCGACGUCCCUAGCAACAGCAUUAAGAAUCUUUCUAAAGAUCUCUUCAAAUUCUCUCUCUGCCAAAUGAAAGCUUAGCUGUUAUGAUGACUUCAGAAAUAGUUUUGGACCCUUCUCCCGGGCACUGACUCUGUCUUGGAGACCAGACUCAUGACAUUCAGAAAAGACUCUCCAAAACGAGAUGGGCCGUGUGACUUCUGCCGUGAUUUGAUGACAGAGUGUUUAUCGGAACUAAUCAUGUGAGAUUUUCCAGUGUUGCAUUUUUGAGAAACGGGAUUCUCUUAAGGAGGUUACAAACACUUCACUGAAAGCUUUCCAAGAACAGCUUCAUGCCGCCUCUCGCCAGCCUCUCGCCAGCCGGAGCACCGAUGUGAUAAUCAGGGUCCGAGCUUCUGAAAAGUCUUCUUGUUCUGGCUGCCACCCUCCUUUCAGCCGUCAUUAGAAUUCUCAAGCUAUGAAUCCCCUAUUGUCUGUGUGAGCCCGGGAUCCCCCACACCACGCGGAGGAAGGAAUGUGAACCUUCUAGGUCUGGUCCUAAGCCUCAACCCUAUCCAGCAGGUCACAAAGCCCCAUUUAUACUUGGCUCCAAAGUUUUAUCAUAAUUCUUUAUCUGCUCAGCCCCAUAGAUCCUCUAGGGCAGUCAGGAGACGUUUGGUAAUGAAGCCCAUUUAUCCUCAUUUUCUCAAUUGGCACACUUAAAGUUCUAAUAUUUAUGUUCACACUGUCCUAAUUUUGAAUGUCAAAGAUACUAUGCGAGACAAGGAGCAUUGCCAAAGGAUAAUUGAACCGCACCGAAGAGUUCACCAGAGUCUGAUGCCUGAUGUGGUUUGUCAUAUUACCAGUCAUUGCAUCACAAAUAGUUAACUUCAAUAGCUUGGUGGAAACAUAGUAACAAACGCUGCCAUUUAUCAAACACCUCUUCCUGUGUGGCAUGCAGCGACGUCACUGAAUUCUCACACUUUACGAAGAGGAUUAUCCACUUUUUAUUGAAACUAAGGUUCAGAGAGAUUAAUUAACCUGUUUCUGUGCAUUCAGAGGCUGAGCUUAGACUCAAACCCAGAUCUCUGACUGCAAAGCUCACGGCAUUUGUACCUCACUCCUUUGCCUCUUACCAGAAAUACAAUUUGUGAGUCGUUUUAAAUUAGCAUAACACAGUUAUUUUUCAUCACAGUUAAGCAAAGAAUUUUAAACUUAGGGCUGUUAAAAAGGUUUUGGCCAACUGAAUAAUGAGAUCUCUUCUGAUAAGUAUUAGCAUGCUCUCAGGUCAGAGUAGGAAUUUGUGGCAUAUACUUCACCUAUCAAUAGGUGGCAGUAUUCACCUAAAUCUCUCCAAGAGGAAUUAGCACAGGUCACUCACAACCAUCCCCAAGGCCAUCUACAUUUUUUGAUGCACUGGGUUUUAUCAUGAAGAGUAGCGUUUACAAUAAUUGGGCUACUAACUGGAUCUUCAUCAUGCCUUCGGAGAGUGAGAUUUGGACUCCAGUGGGUUGUUUGGGAGGGGGAUGCGCCAUCACAGAGACCUUGGGACCCCUCUCCAUUCGCAACAUUCAUUUUGACCAUUUCCUCGAGGGAGGUCUUUGUUUGCAACUGGAAGCCAAAGAUGAUUUGGGGGUCUUCGUUUACUUUAAGAAUCUUCAGCAUAAUUUUCAAAUAAUUUAAAAAUGAAAUUAUUAAUACCCUAAGAUUUGAUAAUUCAUACAUUCAUAAUUCAGAGAAAGUUUGCUCAGAUCAGGACAAUAAAGCAACCGGCAGACCUCAUGGUUUCAAAGUGGUUUCAAGACCUAUGUGCAUGUAUACUCGCCCAUCAAAACAUAUGAGUCUUCACCAGGAUGCAUGAAAACUGGAGUCCAUAAAGUAAGUGCUCAAUACACAAGUCAAAGUGGACAAGUUGAUGAGGCCAAGUACCAAAGGAUAAAUGACCUCUGGGUUUUAGGCAGACUCUUCCUCUUUCUCUUAUUCCUCUGUAACCUCCCCUUCUUCCUUCUCCUUUUUCCAUAAAAAAAUAUCUUAAUAUCAAAAAUAUCUUUAGUUAAAAGUGUUAGCACAGAAUCUGUCUCUAUCUGCUGGCUGCUAAUAAGAGUCUGCCUGGUAGGAUACAGUUUUACAAAGUCAGGAAAACAGGUAUGGUCGUGGAUAAAAGGAUAAGCUGAGAAAUUCUCAGGCCUAUUUUUAUGUUGACCCCCCCCCCCCCUUUUCAUGUGGGAUACUUGGAACUGAUCAUCAUAAAUGAUGGACCAAGAAGCACUGAGAAAUUACAUAAGAUGAGGAGUCCUGACUCUCAGAAAUUAAGAAGUUGACUCAAGUUAAGAUUCUCAGGAGACUGGAUUCUCUCGAAAGAAUUCAGAUUGGCUGGUGGAUGAAGGCAGAAGUCUUCAGAGAUGGCAUCUUAACUUUUUUUUACGUUCCCAAAAGGGAUGAGUAUCUUUCUCUGUGCUCACUGUGGCAUUUGGAACCAUGUUAGCGCUCACGGCAUAGUCUACCUUCGUUAGAGUUACUUGUGGCCCCACUUUCCUGGACCGAGACCUCCAGGAGGGCAAGACUCAUACCACCCUAACUUUUGAAUUGGCUUCUCAGCUCAGUGACCUGGGCCUUGUGUAUGCUAGAUGAUGUUCAAUACAUAUAUACGUUUAGCGGAACUGAAUUAAAGAGAAUUCAUAUGAACGCAUUUUAUAUUUCUGCCCGUAGGUUAGAAGAGAAAUUGCAGCUUGGGUGUUGGAAACCUUGCACAGGUCACAUUUCUUGUUUGUCAUACGGUUCUUCCAUUUUAGGGCCGCAUUGGUAAGCGACUGUAGGCAUACCAUGCCAAAGCCGACACCACCCCCGGAACUAUUAGUUAACUCAUUUUAUAUCCUGGGCAAGGCCAUCUUAUUUUUGUAGGAUGCCCCGGCCACAUGAAGGUUAAAUGCAGAGGCAGGCAAAAAAGCCAUUAUAAGGGACGUUAAGUGACCCACAUUUAGUGUAUCAUGCCAAUCACUAAUGUUUCCUGCUUUUGUGGUUCAGAGACCCAACCUGCACUAAAAAGUCGAACACUACAAUGCUGUUUCCUAACGGUAGCUCUCAUUGUUUCCCAUAUUAGGGCAUAGCUAAGCACAAGGGGAGACAUUCAUCUUCAAAAGCUUACAAAAUUACAUUCAACCCAUUAGGCAUAUCAGGAGCUAUUGCCACGCUCGGGAAAUGAAUUACCCAGCUGAAUAUCACGGGCAUAAUGAAGUUGUCAGCAGCAACAGUGCGGCUGUAGAUUGUCUGAUUAUGUGUUGGCUGUGCUGGCCAUUCAGGGACACACCAGGAAGGAAGUCAUUGUCAUACCGUCCACAACAUUCUCAGCCCUGUCCCCAGCCACGGUAAUAAACCUGAUAUCCUGAGAAGCACAUGGAAAACAACAAUAACAGCAACAAACGACAAAAAGCAUGCCCUUAUUCCUGGCAUGGCUGGAGUGUGUCCCUUCCUAGGGCUCCCAUCUGUCAUCUUCUUUAAAAAAAAUGACCAUGACAAGGAGUGCAAGUUUAGAUUCUGGCCCUCCAAACAAACAUUUCACAAUGGGCUUCCUUAGCCUUUGUUAACCUCAAAAUAAACAGCAGUCCAGCAAGAGAGCUUUAACUACGUGGGUGGGAUUUACACCUCUCCUGUGAGUCAAAGAUGGAGGCAGCCUGAGUUGUUCUUUUCUGCAGAAGGAUCUGCCAAAGCAGGGUGAUAUAGGUAGUGUCUCUUGACAUCAACCGGAAUCUUCUCAAAGAUUCUCUUGGCUUUUUUUUUUUAACCCAAACCACAAAAAACCCAUAACAAAACAAAACAAAA